AAACUUUCAACAACGGAUCUCUUGGUUCCG
RNAcentral lists this non-coding RNA (30 nucleotides) under Coccidioides immitis. Lineage: Eukaryota; Fungi; Ascomycota; Eurotiomycetes; Onygenales; Onygenaceae. The record is from RNAcentral. RNAcentral also lists the same sequence under 2 other names.